UGAGUCUUGAAGGCAUAGUGAAAGCAGUAGAUAAGAGGGAGAGGUAUAGAGAGAACAGGAGAGUUUAAAUUUGUAGUAGAAAGAGAAGAGAUAGGGAGAAGAUAAAAGUGUGUACUCUGUAGAAAAAGGGGAAUAUUAAGUGUUUAGAAGAGUAGGUUGGCUUCAGUUUUAGACGUUUGCAUAUAAGGAACAGGCUUGUGGCAAUGGUAGAAGUCUCCAAUGGAGAAAACGUAGGAUGGAAUAUAGGGAGGCUUGAGA
RNAcentral lists this unclassified non-coding RNA (258 nucleotides) under Hevea brasiliensis (rubber tree). The record is from RNAcentral. Lineage: Eukaryota; Viridiplantae; Streptophyta; Magnoliopsida; Malpighiales; Euphorbiaceae.